RNAcentral lists this unclassified non-coding RNA (148 nucleotides) under soil metagenome. RNAcentral describes it as "partial internal transcribed spacer 1". The record is from RNAcentral.
CCGAGUUUACAGCUCCCAAACCCCUGUGAACAUACCUAUACGUUGCCUCGGCGGAUCAGCCCGCGCCCCGUAAAAAGGGACGGCCCGCCCGAGGACCCCUAAACUCUGUUUUUAGUGGAACUUCUGAGUAAAACAAACAAAUAAAUCA